AUGAAUAUCAAAAGUUGUGGUGCUGUGGUGAGCCUCAAGAAAUGGUCUGAAUCUGUGGGUGCCAAGGGUGUACUUAACAUUGCUUGGGUCAAUGUUAGCAACAUCCCUUUGGACAAAAGAUGUGAAAGAAACAUUGCCUAUGUUGGAUCUUUGGUGGGUGUAACCCUGGAAAUCGACAAAGCUACUGUCAACAGACCCGAGUCGGUCAGAAUUAAGUUGGGAUGUAGAGAUGCUGAAAAUAUCCCAGCUAAGGCAGAGGGGGUGUUGGGAGAUCAUUUCUAUGAUUUUUUCUACUCAAUAGAUAAAAUUCUGGUUAAAACAAUCCUAAAGACAGUGUGA
This 339-nucleotide ribosomal RNA is filed under the name Triticum aestivum (bread wheat). Its description in RNAcentral is "partial small subunit ribosomal RNA". The record is from RNAcentral. Lineage: Eukaryota; Viridiplantae; Streptophyta; Magnoliopsida; Poales; Poaceae.